This 72-nucleotide transfer RNA is filed under the name Marmota monax (woodchuck). RNAcentral's name for it is "tRNA.Ala". Lineage: Eukaryota; Metazoa; Chordata; Mammalia; Rodentia; Sciuridae. The record is from RNAcentral.
AGGUUGUGGCUGAGUGGUAGAGUGCUUAUUUAGCAUGCAUGAGGCACUGGGUUCAAUUCUCAGCAGGACCUA